UACGUAUGGUGCAAGCGUUAUCCGGAUUUACUGGGUGUAAAGGGAGCGUAGACGGAUAGGCAAGUCUGGAGUGAAAACCCAGGGCUCAACUCUGGGACUGCUUUGGAAACUGCAGAUCUGGAGUGCCGGAGAGGUAAGCGGAAUUCCUAGUGUAGCGGUGAAAUGCGUAGAUAUUAGGAGGAACACCAGUGGCGAAGGCGGCUUACUGGACGGUGACUGACGUUGAGGCUCGAAAGCGUGGGGAGCAAACAGG
This 253-nucleotide ribosomal RNA is filed under the name Drancourtella massiliensis. Its description in RNAcentral is "partial 16S ribosomal RNA". It matches the Rfam family "Bacterial small subunit ribosomal RNA", at positions 524 to 776 of the family's 1533-position model. The record is from RNAcentral. Lineage: Bacteria; Bacillati; Bacillota; Clostridia; Eubacteriales; Oscillospiraceae.